UAAGAAGGUGGCUAGCGUUGCUCGGAAUCACUGGGCGUAAAGCGCACGUAGGCGGAUUGCUAAGUCAGGGGUGAAAUCCUGGAGCUCAACUCCAGAACUGCCCUUGAUACUGACGAUCUCGAGUCCGGGAGAGGUGAGUGGAACUCCGAGUGUAGAGGUGAAAUUCGUAGAUAUUCGGAAGAACACCAGUGGCAAAGGCGGCUCACUGGCCCGGUACUGACGCUGAGGUGCGAAAGCGUGGGGAGCAAACAGG
RNAcentral lists this ribosomal RNA (253 nucleotides) under uncultured bacterium. Its description in RNAcentral is "partial 16S ribosomal RNA". It matches the Rfam family "Bacterial small subunit ribosomal RNA", at positions 524 to 776 of the family's 1533-position model. The record is from RNAcentral.